Molecule: ribosomal RNA, 465 nt
Filed under: uncultured bacterium
Lineage: Bacteria
Description: partial 16S ribosomal RNA
Rfam family: Bacterial small subunit ribosomal RNA
Source: RNAcentral
CCUACGUGUGGCAGCAGUGGGGAAUAUUGCGCAAUGGGCGAAAGCCUGACGCAGCGACGCCGCGUGAGGGAUGAAGGUCUUCGGAUCGUAAACCUCUGUCAGCAGGGAAGAACGGUCACUGUGCUAAUCAGCAGUGAAUUGACGGUACCUGCAAAGGAAGCACCGGCUAACUCCGUGCCAGCAGCCGCGGUAAUACGGAGGGUGCGAGCGUUAAUCGGAAGUACUGGGCGUAAAGCGCUCGUAGGCGGUAUGUCAAGUCAAUGGUGAAAUCCGCGCGCUCAACGUGGGAACUGCCUUUGAAACUGGACAACGGGAGUGUGUGAGAGGAUAGUGGAAUUACAGGUGAAGGAGGGAAAUCCGUAGAUAUCAGGAGGAACAGCAGUGGCGAAGGCGACUAUCUGGCACAUAACUGACGCUGAGGAGCGAAAGCGUGGGUAGCAAACAGGAUUAGAUACCCUAGUAGUC